Molecule: long non-coding RNA, 867 nt
Organism: Sciurus carolinensis (gray squirrel)
Lineage: Eukaryota; Metazoa; Chordata; Mammalia; Rodentia; Sciuridae
Exons: 4
Source: RefSeq, a predicted model, not a curated record
CACAUUUUGCGCCCCCUUGGGCACCGAGGAUCGCGCCCUCGGCUUGAAGGCUACCUGGUCUGAAGGUUGCGGGCGGCUGCAGAGGUCGGCCUCGAAGCCGGAGUUUGGGGUCCCGGCGGCGCUCGGAGCUGCGGGCGGGAGGUGCCUGGGCGAUCCGCGCCCCGCGACGAUAGCCUUGCUGUGGGCGCCCUCGCCCAGGAGGUGGCGCUGCAGGCUCUCCCAAGGCCCGGACCACCCGCGGAAGGCAGCCGUGCUCUGGGUCGAAGAUGUCAGUUGACGAAUGCAACUGCUUAACACCGCGCCCUUGGCCCGAGUCUCCAAAUCCUCCAGCAAACCUGUUCUGCACGAGUCAGGACCUGCCUCUUGUAGGACGCCGGCCGUCAACUCAGGACUGGGCCCUGCUGCAGAGCUAACGGGUUCAUGCUCAGAGUAUUAACCAUUCUGUUUCAUUUUUCCUAAAACUUUUUGUUAUCGAAAUGGAUCCACAUUGAUGCAAAAUGUUUGACUCCGUUGACAUAAUAUCUUUAAAGAGAAGUACGCAAACAUAGCAGAUUCUCCACCAGCCACUUCCCGGAGAAGGAAACAGGGUAAAUAGAACGGAGAGAUUUUCUGAGAAGGGGAACUGUGACCAGCUUGUGAUGCACAAGCCCAGGUUCGCCUGCCUGAGGGUGACAUCAAAUGAGUCAUGCUAGCCUCCCUGCCUCCCCCCCACUGCCCCAUCUGAUUUGGAAACUGACUGCAAAUUCGUGAACAAGUCUAGGUUCCAGUGAGUGGCAAUGGGGGAUUAGAAGACAAAUACUCACAAACACAGAUUUUGAAGAUGAAGCUGGGAUCAGGUGGAGUGCUGCUGUCUGUUGGAGAUCCGGA